RNAcentral lists this unclassified non-coding RNA (2301 nucleotides) under Hevea brasiliensis (rubber tree). The record is from RNAcentral. Lineage: Eukaryota; Viridiplantae; Streptophyta; Magnoliopsida; Malpighiales; Euphorbiaceae.
AAAAAAAAAAAAAAACAAAAUCUCCAAUUUUAUUUCUCAUAGAAAAUUUCUGCAACCCAAGCACUCCAGCGAGAAAAAAAAUUCCUCUUCUCGAUCUAUUCGCCUUAGGGUAAGAUUCUGUUUUCCUUCUUAUUGAUUUAUCAACGGAUCUGUUCGUGAUUUCUUAUGUUUCUCUUUGUGUUUGAUUGAAUUUGACAGUUUCGAGAGAUCUGAGGAAAGAGGAGAGGAAAGGAGGAGAUUAGAAUAUGGCGCAUAGAGUAGAUCAUGAGUAUGACUAUCUGUUCAAGAUCGUUCUGAUUGGAGACUCUGGCGUGGGAAAAUCUAAUAUCCUUUCCAGGUUUACCAGAAAUGAAUUCUGUUUGGAAUCCAAAUCCACUAUUGGUGUCGAGUUCGCUACUAGAACUCUUCAGGUAAUCUUCAAAUCUUUAUUUCUAUCAUUUGAUUUUCUUUGUUAUCUGCAAUUUUAAGACGAUCUGUUCGUCUACUGGCUUCUGAAUCGUUGUUUUGUUUAUUGGUUAGCAGACUGACUGAUGAUUAUUAGUGUAAUAAUGGAAAUGAAAUUUUCAGAUUUUAGUAUAGGAAAAUUGUUUAUAGGGACUUCUUGUCAUUUUUUAGACAAGGAGGACGUAUGUAUUUGCAGGUAUAUGUAUCGUUUUGGAUUAAUAGAUUGGCUAUUGGUAUUGGAACGGCGAUGAAGUGACCACUGACAAGUGGCCAUACUUGCAGAAUGGAGUUGACUGUGAGAUAUUUGUAAGUGGGAAAAGUUAUUUCUUCCGAUUCCACUAGUGAUAGGCCUCAAUUGAAGGUCAGGACCGUAGGUUCUAUUGGGUGAGAGGGAGUUUGCAUGUACCCUCAUAUUGUUAACAGCUUCAUUUGGGAGAUGCAGAGGUUUUAUGAAGUUUUCUACUGGUCUUUGUGCAAUAAAAUAGCACCAACUAAUUUGUUUCCAUAACUAUAACUACAUUUUAACAUGGAUCUCUAUGAUCCUCUCAUGUGCUCUUGGUUGAUUGAUCAAGCGCAAUUGGCUAUUCUUUCAUUAAUAUGGCCGCUUGUCUUGCUCAAUUGUCAGGAACUGCAGGAUUAUUGGCGAUUUAUUAAAUUAAUGACUUAGUUCUUUCUUGUAAUCUGAGUGUUAUAUGGCAUGUCAUUCUGUCAAAAGAAUAUUCAUUAAUGAUUUGAAUGAGUGACACGUUGUUAAGAUAUGAUCUAGGUAAUGAAUGCUUAUGAUGGGAGUGGGUUUCAUCUAUGUUGUCAGAUUUGUGCUAUAUAGGCUAUAGCUGAUCUCUAAUUUUUUAUAAUUUUUGUCCUUUUCCUAUAUAUAUGUAUUUUUCUCUGUUACAGGUGGAUGGAAAGACAGUAAAGGCACAGAUUUGGGAUACAGCAGGUCAGGAGCGGUACCGGGCUAUCACAAGUGCAUAUUAUAGAGGAGCUGUUGGUGCCCUUCUUGUUUAUGACAUAACCAAGAGGCAAACUUUCGACAAUGUUCAAAGGUGGCUGCGUGAAUUGAGGGACCAUGCAGACUCUAAUAUUGUCAUUAUGAUGGCUGGAAAUAAGUCUGACUUGAAUCAUCUAAGAGCUGUUGCAGAGGAGGAUGGUCAGAGCUUGGCAGAGAAGGAAGGUCUCUCAUUUCUGGAGACAUCGGCAUUGGAAGCAACCAAUAUUGAGAAGGCAUUCCAAACCAUAUUGACAGAGAUCUACCACAUCAUAAGCAAAAAGGCAUUGGCAGCACAGGAAGCAGCCGGCAAUUCUACUCUUCCUGGUCAAGGAACCACUAUUAAUGUUGCUGAUACAGGGAAUACGAAGAAAGGUUGCUGCUCCACUUAAUUCUAUACUUGAGGAAGGAUAGCAUUGGUAGCAAUCAGUCCUUUUAUUUUUUUUUUUAACAAUUAUUUUUUGAAAAAAAUUCUUUUUCAUUUUUUGGCUGAGAGAGGGAGACUGUAGAUUACUUGUUUUUUUACUUAAAUUGAGUUUGUGACAUUGAAAAAAAAAAAAAAAGGUCGGUGCUGUUAGAAUUUCAGGAUGGGAUGUUCUCUGUAUUUUUUUCUUGUAUGUUACUUUAAAGAUGGAACUGACUGAUAGCAGGGAUGUAGAGUGAAGUCACAUUAUCGCGAACCAUAAAAGGGGAAGCAUUUAGUACUCGUUAUGGGUUUUGUUUGUUGAUCUACUUCCUAACUUGUAAUAAAAGCUUCUUUCCCUUUGUGACAUGUUUUCCAGAGAUUGGUUAACGCCAUAUUUCUUAGACUAUUGCUUAUUCCAUACAAUCUCUUGACUUCUCUUGUCUACUAAAAUACUAGCUUGACA